GUAGGUGAACCUGCGGAAGGAUCAUUAUUGAAUUAAACCUGAUAAGUUGUUGCUGGUUCUCUAGGGAACACUGUGCACACUUGUCAUCUUUAUAUCUCCACCUGUGCACCUUUUGUAGACCUGGAUGUCUCUCCAAGUAGUGAUUUUUUGCACCUUGGGUUUUGAGGAUUGACUUUAUUGUCUCUACCUUACAUUUCUAGGUCUAUGUUUUUCUCAUAUACCCCAAUUUAUGUUAUAGAAUGUAAUACAUGGGACUUUGUGCCUAUAAACUUUAUACAACUUUCAGCAACGGAUCUCUUGGCUCUC
This 306-nucleotide unclassified non-coding RNA is filed under the name rhizosphere metagenome. RNAcentral's name for it is "partial ribosomal RNA internal transcribed spacer region". The record is from RNAcentral.